Molecule: ribosomal RNA, 2780 nt
Filed under: Clostridium perfringens
Lineage: Bacteria; Bacillati; Bacillota; Clostridia; Eubacteriales; Clostridiaceae
Description: partial 23S ribosomal RNA
Rfam family: Bacterial large subunit ribosomal RNA
Source: RNAcentral
AGGUCAAGCUACAAAGGGCGCAUGGUGAAUGCCUUGGCAUCAGGAGCCGAUGAAGGACGUGAUAAGCUGCGAUAAGCUUCGGGUAGGCGCACAUAGCCUGAGAUCCGAAGAUCUCCGAAUGAGGAAACUCACAUGGGAAACCCCAUGUAUCAUUAAGUGAAUACAUAGCUUAAUGAAGGUAACCCAGGGAACUGAAACAUCUAAGUACCUGGAGGAAGAGAAAGAAAAAUCGAUUUUCUUAGUAGCGGCGAGCGAAAGGGAAAGAGCCCAAACCGGAAACUUGUUUCCGGGGUUGUGGACAUAACAUAAAAGUGGAGGCUAUUGUAACUGAAGAGAACUGGAAAGUUCCACCGUAGAAGGUAAUAGUCCUGUAAGUGAAACGAGAAGACCACGAGUUAUGAUCCAGAGUACCACGAGACACGUGAAACCUUGUGGGAAGCAGGGAGGACCACCUCCCAAGGCUAAAUACUACCUGAUGACCGAUAGUGAAGCAGUACCGUGAGGGAAAGGUGAAAAGAACCCCGGGAGGGGAGUGAAAUAGAACCUGAAACCGUGUGCCUACAACCGCUCAGAGCCCCUUAUGAGGGUGAUGAGGUGCUUUUUGUAGAACGAGCCAACGAGUUACGGUAUGUAGCAAGGUUAAGUACUUAAGGUACGGAGCCGAAGGGAAACCGAGUCUGAAUAGGGCGACUAGUUGCAUGCCGUAGACCCGAAACCGGGUGACCUAUCCAUGGCCAGGUUGAAGCGAGGGUAAAACCUCGUGGAGGACCGAACCACGUUGCUGUUGAAAAAGCAUGGGAUGAGCUGUGGAUAGCGGAGAAAUUCCAAUCGAACCCGGAGAUAGCUGGUUCUCUCCGAAAUAGCUUUAGGGCUAGCGUCGAGUAUGAGUAGUGGAGGUAGAGCACUGAAUGGGCUAGGGGGCAUAGCGCUUACCGAACCUUAUCAAACUCCGAAUGCCACAUACUUUGAGCUCGGCAGUCAGACUACGAAUGAUAAGAUCCGUGGUCAAAAGGGAAACAGCCCAGAUCGUCAGCUAAGGUCCCAAAGUGUAAGUUAAGUGGGAAAGGAUGUGAGAUUUCUAAGACAACUAGGAUGUUGGCUUAGAAGCAGCCAUUCAUUAAAAGAGUGCGUAAUAGCUCACUAGUCGAGAGAUCUUGCGCCGAAAAUGUAACGGGGCUAAACUUACCACCGAAGCUACGGGCUUGAACUUAGUUCAAGCGGUAGGAGAGCGUCGUAACCGGGCUGAAGUCGUACCGUAAGGAGCGGUGGACUGGUUACGAGUGAGAAUGUUGGCAUCAGUAGCGAGAUGUGGGUGAGAAUCCCACAGGCCGAAAACCUAAGGUUUCCUCAGGAAGGUUCGUCCGCUGAGGGUUAGUCGGGACCUAAGCCGAGGCCGAAAGGCGUAGGUGAUGGACAACUGGUUGAUAUUCCAGUACCACUACCAUCGUUAUUAUCGAUGGCGUGACGCAGGAGGAUAGUGUGUGCUAGCUAUUGGAUGCUAGUCUAAGCGUUUAGGCAGUGAGAGUAGGCAAAUCCGCUCUCAUAAUGCUGAGGCGUGAUGGGGAAGGUUCUACGGAACCGAAGUACAUGAUUCCACGCUGCCAAGAAAAGCGUCUAGAGAGAGAAGUAGUGCCCGUACCGCAAACCGACACAGGUAGGUGAGGAGAGAAUCCUAAGGCCGGCGGAAGAAUUACAGUUAAGGAACUCGGCAAAUUGACCCCGUAAGUUCGCGAGAAGGGGUGCCUACGAGAGUAGGCCGCAGAGAAUAGGCCCAAGCAACUGUUUAGCAAAAACACAGGUCUCUGCUAAAGCGUAAGCUGAUGUAUAGGGGCUGACGCCUGCCCGGUGCUGGAAGGUUAAGGGGAACACUUAGCGCAAGCGAAGGUGUGAACUUAAGCCCCAGUAAACGGCGGCCGUAACUAUAACGGUCCUAAGGUAGCGAAAUUCCUUGUCAGGUAAGUUCUGACCCGCACGAAUGGCGUAAUGACUUGGGCACUGUCUCAACUGUAAAUCCGGCGAAGUUGUAGUGCGAGUGAAGAUGCUCGCUACCCGCGAUUGGACGGAAAGACCCCGUAGAGCUUUACUGUAGCUUAGCAUUGAGUUUUGGUAUUGUCUGUACAGGAUAGGUGGGAGACUAGGAAACCAGGGCGUCAGCCUUGGUGGAGUCAACCUUGGGAUACCACCCUGACAGUACUGAAAUUCUAACUGGCGGCCAUGAAUCUGGUCACAGGACAUUGUUAGGUGGGCAGUUUGACUGGGGCGGUCGCCUCCUAAAAAGUAACGGAGGCGCCCAAAGGUUCCCUCAGAACGGUCGGAAAUCGUUCGAAGAGUGCAAAGGCAGAAGGGAGCCUGACUGCGACACCCACAAGUGGAGCAGGGACGAAAGUCGGGCUUAGUGAUCCGGUGGUACCUCGUGGGAGGGCCAUCGCUCAACGGAUAAAAGCUACCUCGGGGAUAACAGGCUGAUCUCCCCCAAGAGUCCACAUCGACGGGGAGGUUUGGCACCUCGAUGUCGGCUCGUCGCAUCCUGGGGCUGAAGUAGGUCCCAAGGGUUGGGCUGUUCGCCCAUUAAAGCGGCACGCGAGCUGGGUUCAGAACGUCGUGAGACAGUUCGGUCCCUAUCCGUCGCGGGCGUAGGAAAUUUGAGAGGAGCUGUCCUUAGUACGAGAGGACCGGGAUGGACUGACCUCUGGUGUACCAGUUGUUCCGCCAGGAGCACAGCUGGGUAGCUAAGUCGGGAAUGGAUAAACGCUGAAAGCAUCUAAGCGUGAAGCCAACCU